This 497-nucleotide ribosomal RNA is filed under the name uncultured bacterium. RNAcentral describes it as "partial 16S ribosomal RNA". It matches the Rfam family "Bacterial small subunit ribosomal RNA", at positions 28 to 507 of the family's 1533-position model. The record is from RNAcentral.
GAUGAACGCUGGCGGCGUGCCUAAUACAUGCAAGUCGAGCGAACAGAUGAGGAGCUUGCUCCUCUGACGUUAGCGGCGGACGGGUGAGUAACACGUGGAUAACCUACCUAUAAGACUGGGAUAACUUCGGGAAACCGGAGCUAAUACCGGAUAAUAUAUUGAACCGCAUGGUUCAAUAGUGAAAGACGGUUUUGCUGUCACUUAUAGAUGGAUCCGCGCCGCAUUAGCUAGUUGGUAAGGUAACGGCUUACCAAGGCAACGAUGCGUAGCCGACCUGAGAGGGUGAUCGGCCACACUGGAACUGAGACACGGUCCAGACUCCUACGGGAGGCAGCAGUAGGGAAUCUUCCGCAAUGGGCGAAAGCCUGACGAAGCAACGCCGCGUGAGUGAUGAAGGUGUUCGGAUCGUAAAACUCUGUUAUUAGGGAAGAACAAAUGUGUAAGUAACUAUGCACGUCUUGACGGUACCUAAUCAGAAAGCCACGGCUAACUACGUG